CUUUUUUGCAGGUUAAAAAGUUAUUUAAUAAAUUUAAAUUUAUUGGGUUAUUGUCUUGGACAGUAAUAAACUUAAGCUGACCUUUGCAUUGUUUCAAUCCGGUGGGCUUUAGGAAUGGCAACGGUCAGUUCGGGGUGGGGAUCGCUCUCCCCGUCUUCGUCUCACAAGAAUUUUGAGUCGGAGCGGAACAUUCCUUGUUAGGUGCAGGGCGG
Molecule: unclassified non-coding RNA, 212 nt
Filed under: Hevea brasiliensis (rubber tree)
Lineage: Eukaryota; Viridiplantae; Streptophyta; Magnoliopsida; Malpighiales; Euphorbiaceae
Source: RNAcentral